GACGAACGCUGGCGGCGUGCCUAACACAUGCAAGUCGAACGGAACUGUUUUGAAAGAUUUCUUCGGAAUGAAUUUGAUUUAGUUUAGUGGCGGACGGGUGAGUAACGCGUGAGUAACCUGCCUUCAAGAGGGGAAUAACAUUCUGAAAAGAAUGCUAAUACCGCAUGACAUAUCGGAACCACAUGGUUUUGAUAUCAAAGAUUUUAUCGCUUGAAGAUGGACUCGCGUCCGAUUAGUUAGUUGGUGAGGUAACGGCUCACCAAGACCGCGAUCGGUAGCCGGACUGAGAGGUUGAACGGCCACCUUGGGACUGAGACACGGCCCAGACUCCUACGGGAGGCAGCAGUGGGGGAUAUUGCGCAAUGGGGGCAACCCUGACGCAGCAACGCCGCGUGAAGGAUGAAGGUUUUCGGAUUGUAAACUUCUUUUAUUAAGGACGAAAAAUGACGGUACUUAAUGAAUAAGCUCCGGCUAACUACGUG
This 482-nucleotide ribosomal RNA is filed under the name uncultured bacterium. RNAcentral describes it as "partial 16S ribosomal RNA". It matches the Rfam family "Bacterial small subunit ribosomal RNA", at positions 28 to 507 of the family's 1533-position model. The record is from RNAcentral.